This 490-nucleotide ribosomal RNA is filed under the name uncultured bacterium. RNAcentral describes it as "partial 16S ribosomal RNA". It matches the Rfam family "Bacterial small subunit ribosomal RNA", at positions 30 to 507 of the family's 1533-position model. The record is from RNAcentral.
AUUGAACGCUGGCGGCAGGCCUAACACAUGCAAGUCGAACGGUAACAGGAAGAAGCUUGCUUCUUUGCUGACGAGUGGCGGACGGGUGAGUAAUGUCUGGGAAACUGCCUGAUGAAGGGGGAUAACUACUGGAAACGGUAGCUAAUACCGCAUAACGUCGCAAGACCAAAGAGGGGGACCUUCGGGCCUCUUGCCAUCGGAUGUGCCCAGAUGGGAUUAGCUAGUAGGUGGGGUAACGGCUCACCUAGGCGACGAUCCCUAGCUGGUCUGAGAGGAUGACCAGCCACACUGGAACUGAGACACGGUCCAGACUCCUACGGGAGGCAGCAGUGGGGAAUAUUGCACAAUGGGCGCAAGCCUGAUGCAGCCAUGCCGCGUGUAUGAAGAAGGCCUUCGGGUUGUAAAGUACUUUCAGCGGGGAGGAAGGGAGUAAAGUUAAUACCUUUACUCAUUGACGUUACCCGCAGAAGAAGCACCGGCUAACUCCGUG